GCUCCUAAAGGAUAGCAGCUUAUCCGCCGGCCUUAGGAGCCGGAAACCCUUGGUGCAAAUCCAAGUAGUAGCU
This 73-nucleotide transfer RNA is filed under the name Lophiomus setigerus (blackmouth angler). RNAcentral describes it as "tRNA-Leu". It matches the Rfam family "tRNA". From Rfam's summary of the family: Transfer RNA (tRNA) molecules are approximately 80 nucleotides in length. Their secondary structure includes four short double-helical elements and three loops (D, anti-codon, and T loops). Lineage: Eukaryota; Metazoa; Chordata; Actinopteri; Lophiiformes; Lophiidae. The record is from RNAcentral.